AACGAACGCUGGCGGCAUGCCUAACACAUGCAAGUCGAACGAGACCUUCGGGUCUAGUGGCGCACGGGUUCGUAACGCGUGGGAACCUGCCCUUAGGUUCGGAAUAACUCCCCGAAAGGGGUGCUAAUACCGGAUAAUGUCUUCGGACCAAAGAUUUAUCGCCUUUGGUUGGGCCCGCGUUGGAUUAGCUAGUUGGUAGGGUAAAAGCCUACCAAGGCGACGAUCCAUAGCUGGUCAGAGAGGAUGAUCAGCCACACUGGGACUGAGACACGGCCCAGAAUACUACGGGAGGCAGCAGUGGGGAAUAUUGGACAAUGGGCGAAAGCAUGAACCAGCAAUGCCGCGUGAGUGAUGAAGGCCUUAGGGUUGUAAAGCUCUUUUAACCGGGAUGAUAAUGACAGUAACGGGAGAAUAAGCUCCGGCUAACUCCGUG
RNAcentral lists this ribosomal RNA (433 nucleotides) under uncultured bacterium. Its description in RNAcentral is "partial 16S ribosomal RNA". It matches the Rfam family "Bacterial small subunit ribosomal RNA", at positions 29 to 507 of the family's 1533-position model. The record is from RNAcentral.